RNAcentral lists this ribosomal RNA (472 nucleotides) under uncultured bacterium. RNAcentral's name for it is "bacterial SSU rRNA". It matches the Rfam family "Bacterial small subunit ribosomal RNA", at positions 8 to 526 of the family's 1533-position model. The record is from RNAcentral.
AGAGUUUGAUCAUGGCUCAGAACGAACGCUGGCGGCAGGCUUAACACAUGCAAGUCGAACGAUCCCUUCGGGGAUAGUGGCAGACGGGUGAGUAACGCGUGGGAACCUACCUUUAGGUACGGAACAACAGUUGGAAACUUCAGCUAAUACCGUAUACGUCCUUCGGGAGAAAGAUUUAUCGGAGUUGGAUGAGCCCGCGUUGGAUUAGCUAGUUGGUGGGGUAAUGGCCUACCAAGGCGACGAUCCAUAGCUGGUCUGAGAGGAUGAUCAGCCACACUGGGACUGAGACACGGCCCAGACUCCUACGGGAGGCAGCAGUGGGGAAUAUUGGACAAUGGGCGCAAGCCUGAUCCAGCCAUGCCGCGUGAGUGAUGAAGGCCCUAGGGUUGUAAAGCUCUUUCAACGGUGAAGAUAAUGACGGUAACCGUAGAAGAAGCCCCGGCUAACUUCGUGCCAGCAGCCGCGGUAAUAC